Molecule: microRNA, 21 nt
Filed under: Mus musculus (house mouse)
Lineage: Eukaryota; Metazoa; Chordata; Mammalia; Rodentia; Muridae
Description: mmu-miR-3106-5p
Source: miRBase by way of RNAcentral
UGGCUCAUUUAGAAGCAGCCA